UAUUGCGAAUAUAUGUCAUUCUCAUCGGUUCGGAGCUGCUUCGACCACCUGCGAUGCGUCGUGUCGCAUUGAACGGAGGACUAUAACCAUAAUCCUGACUUCACAUAGCAUCAUGAUUCUUCCUUCAAAACCGAAUAGUCUAAUUCCUUCAGAAGAAACGAACUUCGAAUUUAGAUAAAUCAUGAGAAAAACAGCUCGGAAGGAUCGUUGGAAUUUACCAACGAGGACAUUCGCGUCGUGAUGAUUCAGAAAGAGAGAAGAGAGACAGGACGUAGAAUCCACGAGAUCCGGCAGCCUUUAUCGAAUACUAAUUAAGCAGCACGACUGAAAGUCGGAAAUCCUGUUUGCAACGACGAACGAGAGAAGGUAGAUGCUAAAUAUUAAUGACCAAUAUUCUUCAUUCCUAUGAGAAAAUUUUGUUGUAAAUAAAAUGCAGCAAUACAGCUGAAAAUAAA
Long non-coding RNA from Acromyrmex echinatior (Panamanian leafcutter ant), 455 nucleotides. NCBI's taxonomy places the organism in Eukaryota, Metazoa, Arthropoda, Insecta, Hymenoptera, Formicidae. The record is from RefSeq and is a predicted model, not a curated record.